UAAACACAGGAACUAGAAAACCGGCCUUUCUCACAGGAUGGUGGUGACAGAACCAUAGAACUCUCUGAAGGAGAAGAGGCUCUCAAUAGUCGUCUUCAAGCGUUAUUCUUCUCGACGCUGUUUCCAAGCAUCGGUUGUGGAGUUCGUGACCCGAAUCACAGAUUGAGACCUCCCUUAGAUAUCAAAGCGAUUCCAAAGCUUUAAAUUUAAGAAGGAAAUCCCAAUCGACAUUCGACUCCAAAAUGCACUUGCAGGUUCAUCCGGAGCUGGAUAAAAGCGUGGGGACUUCGAGAUAUCUCAGGGGCGCUUUUGAGAGAGGCCUGUUUCAUAGAUGUAUGUUUCACUUGUGGGGUUUUUAUUGAUAUGUCUGACGGAGCUUACUUUAAUAGUAUGCUUAAGAUGCCCGUCGAUCUGCGAAAUACCGCUGAAUAUUCUUUGUACUGUUGUUGCUUUUUGGGUCGGUCUCCUUUUGAUCUGAUUUUGAUGGAGCUUAAUCAAAUUUCCAAGGCUUUUCCUACUACAAAUUGAUGGGAAGCUCAGUGGAAGUGGGUUCUUCCGAAAGUGGGGUUACGUUGAAGAGGGACCACCCUCUUCUUUGCUCUUCAUAGCCAACUGGUAGAGCUGAGAGACACACCCAUUUUACAGAGACACAGAUGGAGGUUUACCCAGAUUUUUUUUUUUUCCCCAGAAGCUAGAUUAUCUCCCAUGGGUUUGCACUGUGGCGGUAAUCCUUUUCAUUGUGGUACUUUUCCAGAUACUUUUACCUGGUUCAGUCAUAGAAAAAGUCAGGGAAUACAUUAAGAGAUGGGGAAUUUAAUUUUAGUUCAGGUGAAUUGUUGUUUCUUAAGGAGUUUUGUCAGUAGGAUUUUGGCGCUGAUAUUAGAUUUAAGCCUCAUAAGCUUUUGGAGAAAUUCCAGAAAGAAGCUGGAGAGGCGAAAUUUUCCAAUGCAACACUGCAACAUAUUAGGAAUUGGAGUCCCCAGAUUGCAGUGGAAAAAUUAAGGAAACCGCAGAGCACUUCAAAUUGACUGAGAUGAAUAAUAAUUCAGUAGACACUCUUCAUAGUGCAAGACGGCAAGAUCCACACGAGCUAGCUGUUUUUAAUUUUGAUAGUAUAUUAGUUGCUACAAAUGACUUCAACAUAACAAAUAAACUUGGGCAAGGAGGUUUUGGUUCCGUUUACAAGGGAGUACUACAUGAUGGAAAGGAACUGGAAGUAGCCAUUAAAAGGCUAUCUAGUAACUCAGAGGGCAUACAAGAGUUCAAGAAUGAGUUGACUUUGAUCUCCAAAUUCCAGCACAGAAAUCUUGUUAGGCUUAUGGGUUGCUGCAUACACAGAGAAGAGAAGUUACUAAUUUAUGAGUUCAUGCCGAACAAAAGCUUGGAUUUCUUUCUCUUUGGUUGGUUCCACAUAAGGCACAUAUAGUCUCACUUUUAGAGGAAUGGUCAUUUAUUGUUUGCUCAAAACAAUUUGUAGAUACGCCUAUCAUAGCCCAGUAGGAAAGUUCUGCUAAUUAGUACUACUCUUAUCUUCUUCCCCUAAAAGCUAUUAGCAUAAAACAGCUCUAUUGACUGAAUUCUAUUGGUUGUUGCAUUGAUUAAUUAGACCGAAGAAGAAGAUCAGAACUAAAUUGGGCUAGACGCUUCAACAUUAUUCAUGGUGUUGCUAAAGGCCUUGUAUAUCUCCAUCGGUCGGCCGGUGGGUUUCUCUGAUUUUAGGAUGAUUUCUACUGGAUAUGUAGUACCUUUCUGGCUUUCAGAUCUAUUUUCGAUGAAGAUUUUAUGUAGUACCUUUUUGGCUUUCAGAUCUAUUUUCGAUGAAGAUUUUAUGAACAAAAUUUUAUGAGUAAAGUUUGAAUUUCUAUUUGUGCUCCGGCCCUGAUGGUCGGCCGUUGGGUUUCUCUGAUU
Ziziphus jujuba (common jujube) is the source of this 1908-nucleotide long non-coding RNA. RefSeq lists it as uncharacterized. The transcript has 4 exons. The record is from RefSeq and is a predicted model, not a curated record. Lineage: Eukaryota; Viridiplantae; Streptophyta; Magnoliopsida; Rosales; Rhamnaceae.